This 253-nucleotide ribosomal RNA is filed under the name uncultured bacterium. Its description in RNAcentral is "partial 16S ribosomal RNA". It matches the Rfam family "Bacterial small subunit ribosomal RNA", at positions 524 to 776 of the family's 1533-position model. The record is from RNAcentral.
UACGUAGGGUCCGAGCGUUGUCCGGAAUUAUUGGGCGUAAAGAGCUCGUAGGCGGUUUGUCGCGUCUGCUGUGAAAUCCCGAGGCUCAACCUCGGGUCUGCAGUGGGUACGGGCAGACUGGAGUGCGGUAGGGGAGAAUGGAAUUCCUGGUGUAGCGGUGAAAUGCGCAGAUAUCAGGAGGAACACCGGUGGCGAAGGCGGGUCUCUGGGCCGAUACUGACGCUGAGGAGCGAAAGCGUGGGGAGCGAACAGG